GCGGACGCCCCAACCCCGUGGCCCCCUCGAACCCCACGUGCUUCCUAAAAACACUUAGAACCGUUCCAAUACCUUUAGUACCACGCUCGGCUCAGGCCCAUCCUCAGCUCAGAGCGCGGUAGCACUGUCCUCCCGCCCAGGAGGUUUAAGGCCUGGCUAAACUCCGCCCCCCACCGCCCUGGCCAAUCAGGAGCCACGUCCUCCGGCGCGCUCCUUUCCCGCCCCGCCUCCCGUCUCCAUGGGAACGAUCUGAGCGUCUACUCCGCGUCCUGGGGCGUCGGUUUCGGUCCCGCCCGGCUGCGGCCGUUGUUUGCUGGGACAGUCCUUGGGCCGGUCUCCGUCCCUGUCCAGAGGCUCCGUACGUGAGGCGGACUCUCGGGAGCACCGAGCCGGGCGCGGAUAAGGGCGAGGACAGCUGUUGCAGGAACGGGGGCAGAAAAGGAGGACCAGGGGCCGAGAAGCCGCUCUGGCUACGAAAUCUCAGACACCGUUGUAAAUGGGUGCUUCACAGCCGCCCGCCCCACGUUAAAACUGAAGAAGAGGUGCAAGGAGGCGGAAGCAGCUUGGGCCUCGGGACCGAGGGCAUUUGCAGUUCACACCCAGUUAGUACGUGAGGACUGCAGUGAGUGUGGAAAUUUCAAGUCUCGCCCAGUCUUCUAUUCUUCCCCCCCAGCUCAGCCUUCUCGACCCUCCACCCUUCCCCAAAAAAGGAGCACAAAGGAGCAAGCAGGGGUCACGCCUUUCCUCACAGUCUGACCCGGGUGAGUAGGGGUCUUGUCUCAUCUCCCUCGACUUCUCCAUGGACUGUGGGAGUAGCUGAAGUGGCUGUGGGGACGGAGGGAGCAGACUGAAUAGAAACUGUUCCUCACGUGCCUGAGAAGCUUUCGAGCUUCCUCUUCAGCAGACCCUGCCUCCUGCCCAGGGCCCUUUCUAACAUUUUUCCCACUUACUCAGCCACUUAGGUCUGCUAUAUAGUCCAUACUGCUCUUGGUGACCAGAGAUAAAUAAGCAUGAGAACGUCUUUCCUGGAAGCUGCUGUGUGACACAGCAGGUGAAAGAUCUGACAUCGCCACAGGUGUGGCACCUGCAGCUCCGGUUCCAUCCCUGGCCCAGGAACGUCCACAUGCUGUGGACGUGGCCAAAGGAAAGAAGGCCUUUCCUUCGCCUCGGGGAAAUCAACCACAUGAGGUUAAUAAGAAUUUCUAAAAUUAUCACACAUUAAACAGUUCCAAAAUUAAGUGUCACUUUUAAGCAAAAGGCAGGAACAGGCAUUCAGAUUUGAGUAAAACCAUUGUGAACUGGCGGAUGUCAUUCCCGACAGGAAGCCCAUCAUUUAGUCGCAGGCAGAACAUGAGGAACAAACGAGGAAACCAGGCUAGUUGCAGGAGAGACUAAGUGUGAAUGGGUGAGGAAAGGCCGCGUUGCGGAGGCUCUGGUUUCUUACUCUGUGUACCACUCAGAUUCCGGGGCACACCAACCAGAGGCAGGCAUUGCUGACAUCCAGAUGGAUUUACUUCGUCUUUUAUCUAAUAAUAUACAUACGUACUCACUAAUCCAUACAAAUACUAGCAUGUAUGCACACCAGUACACAUAUGUACAAAUAUGCACAUUUAC
This 1614-nucleotide long non-coding RNA is filed under the name Sus scrofa (pig). Its description in RNAcentral is "lncRNA (ENSSSCG00055002121.1)". The record is from RNAcentral. Lineage: Eukaryota; Metazoa; Chordata; Mammalia; Artiodactyla; Suidae.